This 467-nucleotide ribosomal RNA is filed under the name uncultured bacterium. Its description in RNAcentral is "partial 16S ribosomal RNA". It matches the Rfam family "Bacterial small subunit ribosomal RNA", at positions 28 to 506 of the family's 1533-position model. The record is from RNAcentral.
GACGAACGCUGGCGGCGUGCUUAACACAUGCAAGUCGAACGGAAAGGCCCUGCUUUUGUGGGGUGCUCGAGUGGCGAACGGGUGAGUAACACGUGAGUAACCUGCCCUUGACUUUGGGAUAACUUCAGGAAACUGGGGCUAAUACCGGAUAGGAGCUCCUGCUGCAUGGUGGGGGUUGGAAAGUUUCGGCGGUUGGGGAUGGACUCGCGGCUUAUCAGCUUGUUGGUGGGGUAGUGGCUUACCAAGGCUUUGACGGGUAGCCGGCCUGAGAGGGUGACCGACCACAUUGGGACUGAGAUACGGCCCAGACUCCUACGGGAGGCAGCAGUGGGGAAUAUUGCACAAUGGGCGGAAGCCUGAUGCAGCAACGCCGCGUGCGGGAUGACGGCCUUCGGGUUGUAAACCGCUUUCGCCUGUGACGAAGCGUGAGUGACGGUAAUGGGUAAAGAAGCACCGGCUAACUACGG